This 262-nucleotide unclassified non-coding RNA is filed under the name Hevea brasiliensis (rubber tree). The record is from RNAcentral. Lineage: Eukaryota; Viridiplantae; Streptophyta; Magnoliopsida; Malpighiales; Euphorbiaceae.
AUUGUUGUAGGGUGAUAAUAAGGGGGCAGAAAUCAAUUGCAAAGUGAUUGAUUUUCUUCAUCACAAUAAUUGCUCUAAAGUGAUAAACAGAUAGGUGGUACAGAGAAUCAGAUUGCUUCUGGUGAUUAUAUCAAGGAAGUGAAUACUCACUGGGUUAGGUUCAAUUAUCAUUGGAUUUGUAUUGAUGUUUGAUUAAACUUUUACUACAAUUGUAACACUUUCAAAUUUCAGUUCAAUGGAUAUUUCACAAUUAUUUUGAUCC